AUUGAACGCUGGCGGCAUGCUUUACACAUGCAAGUCGAACGGUAACAGGGAGCUUGCUCCGCUGACGAGUGGCGAACGGGUGAGUAAUAUAUCGGAACGUACCCAGAAGUGGGGAUAACGUGGCGAAAGUUACGCUAAUACCGCAUACGAUCUACGGAUGAAAGUAGGGGACCUCGGCCGUAUGCUUUGGAGCGGCCGAUAUCUGAUUAGCUAGUU
RNAcentral lists this ribosomal RNA (216 nucleotides) under uncultured bacterium. RNAcentral's name for it is "partial 16S ribosomal RNA". It matches the Rfam family "Bacterial small subunit ribosomal RNA", at positions 30 to 250 of the family's 1533-position model. The record is from RNAcentral.